Molecule: transfer RNA, 70 nt
Filed under: Streptococcus suis
Lineage: Bacteria; Bacillati; Bacillota; Bacilli; Lactobacillales; Streptococcaceae
Also listed under: 11 other names
Description: tRNA-Glu
Rfam family: tRNA
About the family: Transfer RNA (tRNA) molecules are approximately 80 nucleotides in length. Their secondary structure includes four short double-helical elements and three loops (D, anti-codon, and T loops). Further hydrogen bonds mediate the characteristic L-shaped molecular structure. tRNAs have two regions of fundamental functional importance: the anti-codon, which is responsible for specific mRNA codon recognition, and the 3' end, to which the tRNAs corresponding amino acid is attached (by aminoacyl-tRNA synthetases). tRNAs cope with the degeneracy of the genetic code in two manners: having more than one tRNA (with a specific anti-codon) for a particular amino acid; and 'wobble' base-pairing, i.e. permitting non-standard base-pairing at the 3rd anti-codon position.
Source: RNAcentral
UCCGUUGGUCAAGGGGUUAAGACACCGCCUUUUCACGGCGGUAACACGGGUUCGAAUCCCGUACGGACUA